RNAcentral lists this long non-coding RNA (355 nucleotides) under Mytilus galloprovincialis (Mediterranean mussel). The record is from RNAcentral. Lineage: Eukaryota; Metazoa; Mollusca; Bivalvia; Mytilida; Mytilidae.
CGUAUUGUUAUGCGUUUACUUUUCUACAUUGGUUAGAGGUAUAGGGGGAGGGUUGAGAUCUCACAAACAUGUUUAACCCCGCCGCAUUUUUGCGCCUGUCCCAAGUCAGGAGCCUCUGGCCUUUGUUAGUCUUGUAUUAUUUUAAUUUUUGUUUCUUGUGUACAAUUUGGAAAUUAGUAUGGCGUUCAUUAUCACUGGACUAGUAUAUAUUUGUUUAGGGGCCAGCUGAAGGACGCCUCCGGGUGCGGGAAUUUCUCGCUACAUUGAAGACCUGUUGGUGUCCCUCUGCUGUUGUUUUUAAUUUGGUCGGGUUGUUGUCUCUUUGACACAUUCCCCAUUUCCAUUCUCAAUUUUA